CCCCAACAGCUCCCAACAUGACUGCGUUGUUUAAGUAGCCGAUUGCUCUCUUGUAUGACUGUCAAAUAUUUCAGGCAAGUGAUAUCUAGUUCUUCUAUAAGUGGGUGCAUGCUGAAUUGUUAAGGUUUAUAAUUAUUAACUGAAUCAUUGCUUUGUUGUUCGAUAGGCAGUCUAGAUUUUGGAAUGGUUAUUUACAGAACGAAGGCAGGAGGGAAGCGGUUUAAAUACAGCGCAGGGUAAAUAAGUUGAAAAGUACCUAAUUUUUGUGGAUUUAAGUACAAUAAGCUUUCAACUAAACUCACUGCAUUUUAAUUCCUUCAGUCUAUGUAUGUUAUGGGCAGAAAAUAGCUUCUCUGUUGGAAUGGUGCGAUCCAAUUCUCAGUGCACAGAAAGACAUUUUUGGAACCUGCUUUCUAGAAAGUGACCUAUGUGGGCAAUCCCUGCUUCAGCACCCCCUUCAGCUCCAGUAAUUUGAUUGCCCAGAAUAUUCUCAUUAUAAUUCACUGGCACAUGGGAACUGCACAAAUAGCAGUGAGUCAGCGUGCUGGCUAUUGGGGAUCCACAAGCAGGAUACUCAGGUGCUCAGGAUAUUUUCUUUGGAAGGAUCCCUUCUAAAGAAUGUCUUGUCUUUGCAAGAGACAAUGAGGAAUGGGAAGUCACUCUGGGUGUGACUAUUUAUCCCUCUUCUUUCAUAUUCAUUGCUCAAUUCCUUCAAAAACCUAAGUCCUGGAGCAAAGAGGCAUUUAGGGAGUCAGCUAGAAGGACUCUCCAGAGGCUGAUAAAAUUUCUCCCAGUAGCCUCUGCUAUCUAUUCAUCAGAUCCCAAAGCUGUCAGAGAAAAUCUGGUAUUUUCUCCUGCUAACUGUUGCAUAGACUGGCAAUCAGGCUUACCACCAAGUUUUCCUUUAUUAUCAAAAUGAUAUUUCUCCUAGAUAACUUAGUGCUCUUUUCUCUGAUUUAGGACUCAACAAUACCAACCUCACCAACAUCAGUAGGGCUACCUCUAUCAUCAGUAUCAUCACCACCACCCUCAGUAACAUUCCCAACAAAAACUACCAUCGUGGCUCCUAACCUGCACCACUUCCACAGCCACUGCCAUCAUCGCUACUUCCUUUAAUUCAGCAGUUAUUUACUGAGCAGUUAUUUACUCAGUUAUGCACUGAAGAUAACCAAGCACUGUGCUAGUGAAACCAGCCCAAUUGCUCCGUAGAAAUAAUGUGUAUGGGUUUUUUGAAUAAAUAUAGAAAUUGACUCUCCUGAUCUUAAAAUUUGAAGCUUCUAUUUGCCCCAUCUGAAAUCUCUUCUCAGGAAACUGACCCUCAGGCAAUGGACUGAAACUCACCAGAUCACCACAUCCAGAUAAUGAGAGCUCACACCCCUCAUUCAUCAUGACUGCUUCCUUAUCACUCCCGAACUCCUUCCUGCUUGUAGCUACGUUCCUUCUCUGCUAUAUAAACCCCCAAUUUUAGUCAGGCAGGUUUGAGACUCAUCUCCUGUCUCCUUCGCUGCAGCACCCAGAUAAAGCCUUCUUACCUGGCACCUCUCAUUGUCUCAGGGCCUAGCUCUCCAAGCAGCAAGCAACAGGACCAAGACCAAACCCCUGGCAUUUUGGUAACAUUAGGCCCUAAGAAUAUCAAGAAGAUAAUACCAGGAUUUUUGCCUUGAAGGACAAUACUAUAGGAACUUAGAAACGUAUAUAAAUGGCAAUUAUAAAAAUGUGGAGAGGUAUAUGCCAUAGGAGGUAUAUAAAUAAGUGAUCCGCCCACCUCAGCCUCCCAAAGUGCUGGGAUUACAGGCAUGAGCCACCUCGCCUGGCCACAUUUCCACUCUGAUCAUCUUCCUCUUCCUCUCUCUUUCUUUCUUUUUCUUUUCUUCUUCUCCUCCUUUUCCUCCUCCUCCUUCAUUGGGCUGACUGUGUCUAAUGUUAAAAUAAAUGGAUAAUGUAACCUUGGCCUUCUUUCAAAUAUGACAAAGUUGUUCUUUAUUUUAAUAUGUAAAACUUUAUAAUCAGUUGCAAAUUACAAACACCAGACAGAAUUUGUCUAAACAGAAAAACUGAGUACGCUUAAUAAUCCCCUAUUUUUUUUUUUUUUUUCAGGGAUCAGGGGGAAUGUGAGAAAAAAACGGGGGGGGGGGGAGAUAGAAAUAAUCUUCAUUGCAAAAUACAAUUUUAAAAGUUUUAUCAUGAAGAAUAAGCAAUGCUAAUUUUCUUUUACGUUUUAAGAAAUGGGCUUUUAGAAGCAGGGUCAUUUGAAGGCAGACAGUUUCUCUGUUCGGGGAACAUUCAUACUUGCUCCUGGACUUCUAACGUGAUAUCAUCAUUUCCUCAUAUUACCACCAUUGCAAUAAUGUUCUUUUGCCCACACCUUGCCAACUGUACACAUUCAACUAUAAUAAGAUACAUAAAAGGAUCAUACGCUUGAAAUAUUCCUUAAACCUGUCUAGCACCAUCAAACUGCAAUGAUAGAUUCUUGUCCAAAAGUCUUUUAAAUUCAGGUAGAAGAGAGAGGUAAGAUUAUCUUAUGAUUUUUCUGGUGAACCUAGCCCUACUUUGAUAAAGAGUGUUCUAGUUAUCUAUUGCUAUAUUCAAAUUAUUUUUAAAACUCAGUGACUUAAAAAGUAACCAUUUCAAGAUAUCUCUAUUGUGUGCAUAAACAUUUUAAGAUGGAUCUAGAAUUCAUUCCUUUUUCCUUUUCACCUUAACUACAGUGGCCACAGAUGCUCUACUGUGUGCCUCUAGAAUUUAGGCAGAGCUUGGCUGCUUUCUUCUUGUGUUCCAAGGAACAUCAAGCAAGGUAACUCGGUGGUACUCAGCUUGCAUUCAGUGGUACUCAGCUGGCAGGUGGGCUGAUCUGAGGGUUCCAAGGUGGCUUCACUCACACAUCUGAUGCCUUUUUCAUAAUGGAUAGCACAGCUGAAGGCUGGUCAAGCAUUUAUUUCAUCUUGUAUCUACUCUGCAUGUCUGGCGUGGACUUUUUGACAGCAUGAAUUCCAGUGGCUGGGAUUCGAAAGUGUUCCAAGAAAAAUCAUUUCAUUCCAAGAAACCCAGAACAAAGAGAACAUAUAUUCUAAGAAACCCAGGAAGAAGCUUUAAGGCUUCUGGUAACCUAGUCUUGGAAAUCCCAGAAUGUCACUUCGGCUGCAUUCUGUUGAUCAAUUAUGUCCCCAAGACCAACCCGGGUUUAAAAAAAAAAGGUUCAGACUCUUUUUUUGGGAGGUUACGUGUGGUAAUUUAAUACAUUUAUAUAAUUUGUAAAGAUCAAAUCAGUAUACUUAGGAUGUCCAUCACCUUAAAUAUGUGUGCUUUCUUUGUGCUAGAUAUACAGACUGCCCCUCUUGAUGAAAGAAAUAGCAAGGGAUCUGUGGCCAUCUUUAAUAUAUUAUAGAAGGAAUAGCAAGAACAAAGUUGAGAAAUGCAGAAAAAAAUAUGCAUUCUUGUCAGAGAACUGAGUCAUAAAGUUGGGAUGGAUUAUCAAGUUCAUGGGAGUUAAAUCUAGAAAAGAAAAGAAGAGGCAUAGGAGACAAGAUUGAGAACUCUGUACUUAAAGAAGUGGGAAAUGGGAGAACUGAUAAAAGGAUAUGAGUGAUCAGAGAAGAUGUGGGUAUUGGUGAGGGGGUUGCUGAAUGGUGGGGAUGGGGAAUGGGUUGGAGGUAGGAUACACUGUAAGUAAGUAGAAAAGCCCACUGAAGCAGAGGCAACUGGAAAAGUCUUGGGGAGAGUUUGCCCAGGUCCAAACCAUAUGUUGCUGAGGUAAGAAAGGAACAGAUAGAGAAUUUCCAAGAUGUAUAUAUCAUUAUCAUCUAUAGUGUUGUUGUUCAUUAUGAGACAGUCUCCUAGUGGCAUGCAGAGUGUAGGAGGAUAGGUGGUAAAUGAAUGAAACUGACUUACAAUGGCUUGCAAAUAUUAAUAACAGGGAAUGUAUUGGCUCAUGUAAAUUAAAAGUCCAAUGUUGCAUCCAACUUUAAACAUUUGAUUCAGUUGAAUAAUGCCACUAGGAUUAUCUCUUGUCUCUGACUUCUCUGUGUGGUGACAUUAUUCCUUAGCUAUUUCUUCUAAUGUUGACAAAAUAUCUGAAAUAAGUAUAAACCUCACAUCUUCACACCAUCAAAUCCUGUGUAAAAGAGUAUUCUUCUCUCUCUUAGAAACUCUAGCAGAUGAUUCUUUGUGUUUAAUUGGCUAAGAUUGGGUUUUAGAAUUCAGUUCAGUGUAACUUUUCUCUCCCAUCAGUUGCUCUAUGCCCUAAGUUUUACAGGGGCAGGCAUCAGUGUGGGUUUACCAGAGCUGCCUAUGACAAGAAGAGUAUGUCCCUCUAAUUCUGGGACUCAGUAUUAGGAGGCCUGUGGCAUAUUUUAUUUUCUGAAGAUGGUUCAAACAAUACCACCCAUCUCACAGACUCUUUGGAACCUUAUCAUUCUUCCAUCAAGUAAUGGAGUCUCUUUCUCAACUUCCACUGGCUGAGGGCAAAAAAGAAAAAGAAAAAGAAUAAUAAAUAAAUAAAUGUAGUCUGUUUUCCCUAACCUUGAAUCUAGGCAGUACAGUAUGUGACUAUUUUGAUCUACAGAGUAUGGCAAAAGUGAUAAUAUUGUUACUUCCAAGACUAGGGCAUAAAAAUGGUAUGCACUUCCUCCUUAUUCUCUUGGAAUGUUUGCUCUUGUAAUCUCACUCCAGGUUGCAAGAAAGCUCAAGUAGCCUAUGGAGAGGAUGCAAGGCUUCCAGCUGAUGCCCUCAGCCAGGCUCAGUAGCAGCCAGAACUAGCCUACCAACGAACCUGCUGAUCAUGUGCAUAAGCCACCUUGAACGUCGAUCCUCCUGCCUGGUGGAGCCAUCCCAGCUGAUGCCACAUGAAGCAGACACAAGCUGUCCCUACUAAGCUCUGCUCAAGUUGGAUAUUCAUGAGUGAAAUAAAUGACUGUUACUAAGUAAUUAAUUUUUGGGUGGCUGUUAUGUAGCAGUAGAUAAUUGGAACAAAGCUUAUUGACAUAAUACAUCUAUAUCACAUCCUCCAAUCCAUUUUUUUAAGUAAUAAAGUUGAUGUUUGUUUUGAUUUUCAGUUACAGCUUUACAUAUUUUGUCUUAAUUAGUCAAUUUUUUCCAAACUCAAAAUGGGUUUUUGUAAGAGUAGUAGUAGGGUCCUAGAAUAAUGGCAAUUCUCUUUCACUGGAGAAAGUUUUGUAGAGAAGACAAAAGAAUUUUUACAAGUACUCCACUGGUGAAAACUCAUAAACCUUGAAGGUAUUUUUAAAUUCAUCAUGCAUUUAUCAAUUUAUAAAUGAAUUCAUCAUUCAUUGGUCCAUUCAUCCAUCCCUCCAUCCAUUUCUAGAUCCUCUCAUAAGAGGAAAUCUAGGAAUAAGCCUGAUCAGUGAAAGUUUCAUGGGAAAGAGGAAGGAGGAAGAAAUUAUUUUAUUUUUAGAGUUUUGGGAGUUAGUGGUUAUGGACUUGCACUGGAGAAGAUGGGUGAGAAAGUUCAAGGUUUCUAAAAUGGGAAAGUAGGCCUGGAGAAAAUGUUGCAACCAAGAUUAUAAGGCCAAUUACCAGGUCUGAUUACCAGAAAAUAAUUUUUAAGGCAGGAAUAUUAGGCCAUAUCAGUACCUGAAAGAGUGAUCGAGGCUAAUUUGUUCAUUCAUGUAACAACAAUUUAUUAUGUGCUACUAAGUACCAUCACUAUAUUAUAAACUGAGGGUUCAGUAGUGGAUAAGAGAAACUAAUUCCCUGGCCUAAUGAAGAUUUCAUUCAACGGGGAAAACAAGAAACAUAUAUGUAAAUUAGCAAAAGUUAAUAAUAUCAUUCAAAGAGUGCUAAGAGCUCUGAAAAUAGUAAAGCAGGGUGACUGAUAAAACAGGACUAAGCAGGUAACAGUAAGAGGUGAUCAGGGAAAAAACCUCUGAAGAAAACAUAUUUGAUCUGGAAUCCAAAUGGCAAGUAGAAUGAAGAAGGUAAAUAAUUCAUACAAGAGCAUAUCUCUUCCAUAGCAAGUGCAAAGACCCUGGGCAAAUGCCAUAGUUGAGCUAGCACCCACCACUGGCUUCAAGUGAUGGGUGAGUGAUACAGACUCAAGGAAAGGGCCAAAAGGGCAGACAAAACCAGUUCAAUUUGUCACUUAUUCAUCCACCCAUUGAUCCAUCUACUGAUCCAUUUAUCCAUCCAUCCAUCCAUCCAUCCAUCCAUCCAUCCAUCCAUCUAUUCAACAUACAUGUUGGGUGCCCUUUACAUACCAGGACCUGUACUGGGCAUGGGAACUGCAGAGAUGAAAAGAUGAACAAUCUCUGUACUUGAGGGACUCAUCUCACUCUGUGAGAUGAACUGGCAUGUGACUGAAAACUCACUAUAUUGGUAACGAGACUAAAACACAGAGCUUAAUGAUUUAACCUGAUACCACCCAAGUGGUUAGCGGUUAGUGGCAGGGCUUCAGAAUUUUAUUUUCCUUCCCUACAGGGAAAACCAUUAUGUGUGACCUACUUUUUCAAACUCUCUUCCUCAGUGGGGCAACAAUUAGAGUUUAUCUAUUGCUAGUGCUUACCAUUUUAGGCUCCUUUAAUUAGAGUGUUUUAAAUUAGUGUUAUUUUAAUUUUGCUUAUCUCCUGAGACAUUAUAGAGGAUAAAUAGCAAAUGAAAUAAUGUACAUGAAAACACAUUGUAACCCAUAAACCAUCAUACAGAUGUGUGUUAUAUACAGUUUUAUAUUUGAGGAUAUAGCUUUAUGCAUUAGUACUGCUUCCUCCUCAGGGAUGUCUCCAAAAGAAUUCAGAGUAAAACAGACUUGUGGAUUGAUGCUUUAAAGACAUUUUGUAUUUUCUUUAAAAAUAAAAUUGACUCACAGUAGGUGCUUAAUAAAUAUUUGUUCAAAGAAUGCAUAAGAUGCAAUAUUCAGAGACAUAGAUUCAGUGUAGUAGGCAUCAGUGUGGCUACUUGGCUACUUACUGUGCAAAAGAUGUCAAUUUGUGAGUGCAAAUUCAUCUUAAGGAAAUUCUCUGAUUUAAUUUAAGCAUUGGUAGAGAGAUUUACUAUUAUCCUCCUUGGAAAUGAAAAGCAUAUAGCUCAGGGAAGGAAGAUCACAUUUUUAGGAGAACUAUCUGGGGGCAGAUUACCCAAAGUGUUAAUUAUUAUAAUUACUAUUGUUAAGUUGGUUUUAAAGUCCUAUAUGAUGUAAUAUCAUGUUCUCUUUUUGUUUCUCCAGCUGAGCUGAUGAUCUUUUAAAUAAAAAACUACAACCACCUGUCUU
This 7219-nucleotide long non-coding RNA is filed under the name Homo sapiens (human). Its description in RNAcentral is "non-protein coding lnc-FAM84B-15:117". The record is from RNAcentral. Lineage: Eukaryota; Metazoa; Chordata; Mammalia; Primates; Hominidae.